UUUAANGUUUNNANNCCCCGUCAGGACGAACGCUGGCGGCGUGCCUAAUACAUGCAAGUCGAACGCUUCUUUUUCCACCGGAGCUUGCUCCACCGGAAAAAGAAGAGUGGCGAACGGGUGAGUAACACGUGGGUAACCUGCCCAUCAGAAGGGGAUAACACUUGGAAACAGGUGCUAAUACCGUAUAACAAUCAAAACCGCAUGGUUUUGAUUUGAAAGGCGCUUUCGGGUGUCGCUGAUGGAUGGACCCGCGGUGCAUUAGCUAGUUGGUGAGGUAACGGCUCACCAAGGCCACGAUGCAUAGCCGACCUGAGAGGGUGAUCGGCCACAUUGGGACUGAGACACGGCCCAAACUCCUACGGGAGGCAGCAGUAGGGAAUCUUCGGCAAUGGACGAAAGUCUGACCGAGCAACGCCGCGUGAGUGAAGAAGGUUUUCGGAUCGUAAAACUCUGUUGUUAGAGAAGAACAAGGAUGAGAGUAACUGUUCAUCCCUUGACGGUAUCUAACCAGAAAGCCACGGCUAACUACGUGCCAGCAGCCGCGGUAAUACGUAGGUGGCAAGCGUUGUCCGGAUUUAUUGGGCGUAAAGCGAGCGCAGGCGGUUUCUUAAGUCUGAUGUGAAAGCCCCCGGCUCAACCGGGGAGGGUCAUUGGAAACUGGGAGACUUGAGUGCAGAAGAUGAGA
Molecule: ribosomal RNA, 685 nt
Filed under: Enterococcus faecium
Lineage: Bacteria; Bacillati; Bacillota; Bacilli; Lactobacillales; Enterococcaceae
Description: bacterial SSU rRNA
Rfam family: Bacterial small subunit ribosomal RNA
Source: RNAcentral